ACGGAAGGCAGCAGUGGGGAAUAUUGGACAAUGGGGGAAACCCUGAUCCAGCGACGCCGCGUGAGUGAAGAAGUAUUUCGGUAUGUAAAGCUCUAUCAGCAAGGAAGAAAAUGACGGUACUUGACUAAGAAGCCCCGGCUAACUACGUGCCAGCAGCCGCGGUAAUACGUAGGGGGCAAGCGUUAUCCGGAUUUACUGGGUGUAAAGGGAGCGUAGACGGUAUGGCAAGUCUGAAGUGAAAUGCAUGGGCUCAACCCAUGAACUGCUUUGGAAACUGUCAAACUAGAGUGCAGGAGAGGUAAGUGGAAUUCCUAGUGUAGCGGUGAAAUGCGUAGAUAUUAGGAGGAACACCGGUGGCGAAGGCGGCUUACUGGACUGUAACUGACGUUGAGGCUCGAAAGCGUGGGGAGCGAACAGGAUUAGAUACCCUGGUA
This 434-nucleotide ribosomal RNA is filed under the name uncultured Lachnospiraceae bacterium. Its description in RNAcentral is "bacterial SSU rRNA". It matches the Rfam family "Bacterial small subunit ribosomal RNA", at positions 341 to 792 of the family's 1533-position model. The record is from RNAcentral. Lineage: Bacteria; Bacillati; Bacillota; Clostridia; Lachnospirales; Lachnospiraceae.